RNAcentral lists this ribosomal RNA (460 nucleotides) under uncultured bacterium. RNAcentral describes it as "partial 16S ribosomal RNA". It matches the Rfam family "Bacterial small subunit ribosomal RNA", at positions 338 to 795 of the family's 1533-position model. The record is from RNAcentral.
CCUACGGGUGGCAGCAGUGAGGAAUAUUGGUCAAUGGACGAGAGUCUGAACCAGCCAAGUAGCGUGAAGGAUGACUGCCCUAUGGGUUGUAAACUUCUUUUAUAAAGGAAUAAAACGUGGCACGUGUGCCUUUUUGCAUGUACCUUAUGAAUAAGGAUCGGCUAACUCCGUGCCAGCAGCCGCGGUAAUACGGAGGAUCCGAGCGUUAUCCGGAUUUAUUGGGUUUAAAGGGCGUGUAGAUGGGUUGAUAAGUCAGUUGUGAAAGUUUGCGGCUCAACCGUAAAAUUGCAAUUGAUACUGGCAGUCUUGAGUACAGUUGAGGUAGGCGGAAUUCGUGGUGUAGCGGUGAAAUGCUUAGAUAUCACGAAGAACCCCGAUUGCGAAGGCAGCUUACUGAACUAUGACUGACGGUGAUGCUCGAAAGUGUGGGUAGCAAACAGGAUUAGAUACCCGAGUAGUC